GACGAACGCUGGCGGCGUGCUUAACACAUGCGAGUCGAACGGAAAGGCCCUGCUUGCAGGGUACUCGAGUGGCGAACGGGUGAGUAACACGUGGGUGAUCUGCCCUGCACUUCGGGAUAAGCCUGGGAAACUGGGUCUAAUACCGGAUAGGAGCCAUUUUUAGUGUGAUGGUUGGAAAGUUUUUUCGGUGUAGGAUGAGCUCGCGGCCUAUCAGCUUGUUGGUGGGGUAAUGGCCUACCAAGGCGGCGACGGGUAGCCGGCCUGAGAGGGUGGACGGCCACAUUGGGACUUAGGUCCGGCCCAGACUCCUACGGGAGGCAGCAGUGGGGAAUAUUGCACAAUGGGCGCAAGCCUGAUGCAGCGACGCCGCGUGGGGGAUGACGGCCUUCGGGUUGUAAACUCCUUUCGCUAGGGACGAAGCUUUUUGUGACGGUACCUAGAUAAGAAGCACCGGCUAACUACGUG
RNAcentral lists this ribosomal RNA (465 nucleotides) under uncultured bacterium. RNAcentral's name for it is "partial 16S ribosomal RNA". It matches the Rfam family "Bacterial small subunit ribosomal RNA", at positions 28 to 507 of the family's 1533-position model. The record is from RNAcentral.